CAGCCGCCGCGGUAAUACGUAGGGGGCGAGCGUUACCCGGAUUCACUGGGCGUAAAGGGGGUGUAGGCGGCUCGGUAAGUCGGGUGUGAAAUCCCACGGCUCAACCGUGGAAUUGCGCCCGAAACUGCCGAGCUUGGGGCCGGUAGAGGGAGACGGAACUACCGGUGUAGGGGUGAAAUCCGUAGAUAUCGGCAGGAACGCCGGUGGGGAAGCCGGCCUCCUGGGCCGCGCCAGACGCUGAGGCCCGAAAGCUGGGGGAGCAAACCGGAUUAGAUACCCGGGUAGUCCUAGCCGUAAACGAUGCCCACUAGGUGUGGGGGAGUAUUUCCUCCGUGCUGUAGCUAACGCGUUAAGUGGGCCGCCUGGGGAGUACGCCCGCAAGGGUGAAACUUAAAGGAAUUGGCGGG
This 407-nucleotide ribosomal RNA is filed under the name uncultured microorganism. RNAcentral describes it as "bacterial SSU rRNA". It matches the Rfam family "Bacterial small subunit ribosomal RNA", at positions 509 to 917 of the family's 1533-position model. The record is from RNAcentral.